AAUAGAUACCCCGGUAGUCCACGCCGUAAACGAUGAUUACUCGCUGUUGGCGAUACACUGUCAGCGGCUAAGCAAAAGCAAUAAGUAAUCCACCUGGGGAGUACGGCCGCAAGGUUGAAACUCAAAGGAAUUGACGGGGGCCCGCACAAGCGGAGGAACAUGUGGUUUAAUUCGAUGAUACGCGAGGAACCUUACCUGGGCUUAAAUGUAGAGUGCAUUUUCUAGAGAUAGGAAUUCCCUUCGGGGCUUUCUGCAAGGUGCUGCAUGGUUGUCGUCAGCUCGUGCCGUGAGGUGUCGGGUUAAGUCCCAUAACGAGCGCAACCCUUAUCGUUAGUUGCCAUCUGGUAAAGCAGGGGACUCUAGCGAAACUGCCACCGUAAGGUGAGAGGAAGGUGGGGAUGACGUCAAAUCAGCACGGCCCUUAUGUCCAGGGCUACACACGUGUUACAAUGGUCGGUACAGAGGGCAGCUACCUGGUGACAGGAUGCUAAUCUCGAAAACCGGUCUCAGUUCGGAUCGAAGUCUGCAACUCGACUUCGU
Molecule: ribosomal RNA, 540 nt
Filed under: uncultured bacterium
Lineage: Bacteria
Description: bacterial SSU rRNA
Rfam family: Bacterial small subunit ribosomal RNA
Source: RNAcentral